This 136-nucleotide small nuclear RNA is filed under the name Fukomys damarensis (Damara mole-rat). RNAcentral describes it as "U2 spliceosomal RNA". It matches the Rfam family "U2 spliceosomal RNA". From Rfam's summary of the family: U2 is a small nuclear RNA (snRNA) component of the spliceosome (involved in pre-mRNA splicing). Complementary binding between U2 snRNA (in an area lying towards the 5' end but 3' to hairpin I) and the branchpoint sequence (BPS) of the intron results the bulging out of an unpaired adenosine, on the BPS, which initiates a nucleophilic attack at the intronic 5' splice site, thus starting the first of two transesterification reactions that mediate splicing. Lineage: Eukaryota; Metazoa; Chordata; Mammalia; Rodentia; Bathyergidae. The record is from Rfam by way of RNAcentral.
AUUGCUUCUUGGUCUUUUGGCUAAGAUCAAGUGUAGUAUCACUUUAGUAUAGUUUUAGGAGAAAGUAGAAGAAGAACUUGUGUGUUUAGUGUUUAUUCACUUAUAAAUGUCUUCUCUUUCGGAAAGUGUACGGUCA